This 83-nucleotide transfer RNA is filed under the name Tupaia belangeri chinensis (Chinese tree shrew). Its description in RNAcentral is "Tupaia chinensis (Chinese tree shrew) tRNA". It matches the Rfam family "tRNA". Rfam says of the family: Transfer RNA (tRNA) molecules are approximately 80 nucleotides in length. Their secondary structure includes four short double-helical elements and three loops (D, anti-codon, and T loops). Further hydrogen bonds mediate the characteristic L-shaped molecular structure. tRNAs have two regions of fundamental functional importance: the anti-codon, which is responsible for specific mRNA codon recognition, and the 3' end, to which the tRNAs corresponding amino acid is attached (by aminoacyl-tRNA synthetases). tRNAs cope with the degeneracy of the genetic code in two manners: having more than one tRNA (with a specific anti-codon) for a particular amino acid; and 'wobble' base-pairing, i.e. permitting non-standard base-pairing at the 3rd anti-codon position. Lineage: Eukaryota; Metazoa; Chordata; Mammalia; Scandentia; Tupaiidae. The record is from Rfam by way of RNAcentral.
GCUGGGAUGGCCAAGUGGUUAUGACAUUGAACUUAAAAUCCAAUAGACGUGUGCCCUUGUGGGUUCAAAUCCCAUUCCUGGUA